GAUGAACGCUGGCGGCGUGCCUAAUACAUGCAAGUCGAGCGAACAGACGAGGAGCUUGCUCCUCUGACGUUAGCGGCGGACGGGUGAGUAACACGUGGAUAACCUACCUAUAAGACUGGGAUAACUUCGGGAAACCGGAGCUAAUACCGUAUAAUAUAUUGAACCGCAUGGUUCAAUAGUGAAAGACGGUUUUGCUGUCACUUAUAGAUGGAUCCGCGCCGCAUUAGCUAGUUGGUAAGGUAACGGCUUACCAAGGCAACGAUGCGUAGCCGACCUGAGAGGGUGAUCGGCCACACUGGAACUGAGACACGGUCCAGACUCCUACGGGAGGCAGCAGUAGGGAAUCGUCCGCAAUGGGCGAGAGCCUGACGGAGCAACGCCGCGUGAGUGAUGAAGGUCUUCGGAUCGUAAAACUCUGUUAUUAGGGAAGAACAAAUGUGUAAGUAACUAUGCACGUCUUGACGGUACCUAAUCAGAAAGCCACGGCUAACUACGUG
This 497-nucleotide ribosomal RNA is filed under the name uncultured bacterium. RNAcentral's name for it is "partial 16S ribosomal RNA". It matches the Rfam family "Bacterial small subunit ribosomal RNA", at positions 28 to 507 of the family's 1533-position model. The record is from RNAcentral.